This 433-nucleotide ribosomal RNA is filed under the name uncultured bacterium. RNAcentral's name for it is "partial 16S ribosomal RNA". It matches the Rfam family "Bacterial small subunit ribosomal RNA", at positions 29 to 507 of the family's 1533-position model. The record is from RNAcentral.
AGCGAACGCUGGCGGCAGGCCUAACACAUGCAAGUCGAACGAACUCUUCGGAGUUAGUGGCGGACGGGUGAGUAACACGUGGGAACGUGCCUUUAGGUUCGGAAUAACUCAGGGAAACUUGUGCUAAUACCGAAUGUGCCCUUCGGGGGAAAGAUUUAUCGCCUUUAGAGCGGCCCGCGUCUGUUUAGCUAGUUGGGGAGGUAAAGGCUCACCAAGGCGACGAUCAGUAGCUGGUGUGAGAGGAUGAUCAGGCACAUUGGGACUGAGACACGGCCCAAACUCCUACGCGAGGCAGCAGUGGGGAAUCUUGCGCAAUGGGCGAAAGCCUGACGCAGCCAUGCCGCGUGAAUGAUGCAGGUCUUAGGAUUGUAAAAUUCUUUCACCGGGGACGAUAAUGACGGUACCCGGAGAAGAAGCCCCGGCUAACUUCGUG